GAUGAACACUGGCGGCGUGCCUAAUACAUGCAAGUCGAGCGAACAGAUGAGGAGCUUGCUCCUCUGACGUUAGCGGCGGACGGGUGAGUAACACGUGGAUAACCUACCUAUAAGACUGGGAUAACUUCGGGAAACCGGAGCUAAUACCGGAUAAUAUAUUGAACCGCAUGGUUCAAUAGUGAAAGACGGUUUUGCUGUCACUUAUAGAUGGAUCCGCGCCGCAUUAGCUAGUUGGUAAGGUAACGGCUUACCAAGGCGACGAUGCGUAGCCGACCUGAGAGGGUGAUCGGCCACACUGGAACUGAGACACGGUCCAGACUCCUACGGGAGGCAGCAGUAGGGAAUCUUCCGCAAUGGGCGAAAGCCUGACGGAGCAACGCCGCGUGAGUGAUGAAGGUCUUCGGAUCGUAAAACUCUGUUAUUAGGGAAGAACAAAUGUGUAAGUAACUAUGCACGUCUUGACGGUACCUAAUCAGAAAGCCACGGCUAACUACGUG
Molecule: ribosomal RNA, 497 nt
Filed under: uncultured bacterium
Lineage: Bacteria
Description: partial 16S ribosomal RNA
Rfam family: Bacterial small subunit ribosomal RNA
Source: RNAcentral